AUCAUGAGUUCACAUGUCCGCAUGAUUAAAGGUAUUUUCCGGUAGACGAUGGGGAUGCGUUCCAUUAGAUAGUAGGCGGGGUAACGGCCCACCUAGUCAACGAUGGAUAGGGGUUCUGAGAGGAAGGUCCCCCACAUUGGAACCGAGACACGGUCCAAACUCCUACGGGAGGCAGCAGUGAGGAAUAUUGGUCAAUGGGCGAUGGCCUGAACCAGCCAAGUAGCGUGAAGGAUGACUGCCCUAUGGGUUGUAAACUUCUUUUAUAAAGGAAUAAAGUCGGGUAUGCAUACCCGUUUGCAUGUACUUUAUGAAUAAGGAUCGGCUAACUCCGUGCCAGCAGCCGCGGUAAUACGGAGGAUCCGAGCGUUAUCCGGAUUUAUUGGGUUUAAAGGGAGCGUAGAUGGAUGUUUAAGUCAGUUGUGAAAGUUUGCGGCUCAACCGUAAAAUUGCAGUUGAUACUGGAUGUCUUGAGUGCAGUUGAGGCAGGCGGAAUUCGUGGUGUAGCGGUGAAAUGCUUAGAUAUCACGAAGAACUCCGAUUG
Molecule: ribosomal RNA, 541 nt
Filed under: uncultured Bacteroidota bacterium
Lineage: Bacteria; Pseudomonadati; Bacteroidota
Description: bacterial SSU rRNA
Rfam family: Bacterial small subunit ribosomal RNA
Source: RNAcentral